Molecule: long non-coding RNA, 1658 nt
Organism: Suricata suricatta (meerkat)
Lineage: Eukaryota; Metazoa; Chordata; Mammalia; Carnivora; Herpestidae
Exons: 5
Source: RefSeq, a predicted model, not a curated record
ACGAGCCGCCGCCUCCUCCUGGCGCCCCGUCCUCCCCAGAGAUCCCCGAAGUCACCGGCACCCGCCAGUCUCCGCCCCGCCCCCCCUCCAGCAGCGUCCUCCACCGUCACCUUUCCAGGAACCUCUGGUCAGCGGUCACCGACUCAAGCGGAGCUCCCCAAAGAAGCCUCAAGCCCUCACUCCCUGGGGUCUGACCAACACCGUUCUCCCCGGUGAAUCCCCCCUCCAAAAUAUAAGUCAAGCCUCCGGUUUCCCCUGGUAUGCUGCUUGGUAAACGACUUUGGUGUUUUGUGAACCCAUCAGAAGACGGUUCACAUCCUCUAAACCAGCCCAGCCCGGAACGGCCCCUCUUAGUGACCAGUGCAGUUUCCCAGCCCUGCAAGCAUCUGCAUUCCAGGCUUGACCAGGCUUCAAUUCUCACCCACAUCCCUGGGUUGUGAACCUAACAAAGACGCUUGUCGGAUUGUCUUGGACAGGGAUGAACCAUCAAGCUGCCUCCAGCCCAGGUUUCAUUUCCCAAUGUCUCUGCCACCCUUCCCCCAUGCCAGAGCCCUCCACACCAGCUCUAACUUUAUGACUCAGAGCCAUUUGACCGAAUUCCACUGCUGCUUACCAAGUGGCCACCUGGCCCUGAAGGAGGAAGAACAGUGGUGGAAAAGGGUAAGAGUAUUGCUUGAGCAGAAGAAGUGUUCUCCACACCCUCAGGAGUUGCCAGGGACCAGGCCCCUCUUCCUCAGUGAGCCCUGAAGCCAAAUUCACAAGCAUGAGGAUGUCUGCCUUUUCUGAUCCAAUUCCUUGGUUGGAAACCCCAUAAUGGACAUCUGAGGAACAUGACCAUGGAAAAGAUGAAAAAUGAAAAGCAUGUUCGGAGGUGUUAUUUCAUUUAAUUCUCUUAAGCACCAGAUGAGGCCCAGAGAGCUUAAGUGACCUAGUGACCUGUCCCCGGCCACCCAACUGCACAUGGUCCCUGACUCACAAUGGUUCAACGUACAAUUUUCGACUGGAGAGGAAGCGAUAUGCCUUUGGUGGAACCCGUACCGUGUAUUUUGAAUUUGGAUCUUUUCCUGGGCUAGUGAUGUGUGGCACGAUCCUCUCCCUGGAUGCUGGGCAGUGGCAGGGAGCUGGGUUCAUAGUCAGCCACCGAUCCCAAGGCUACACAACCAACACACAACCGACCCAAAUCCCCACAAACAUUCUGGUGUUCAUUUUUAGUACAGUAGUCAAUAAAUUACAGGAGAGAGUCAACAUUUUAUUACAAAAGAGGCUUUGUGCUAGAUGGUUUUGUCCAAAUGUAGGCUAACAUAGUAUCCCGAGCAUAUUUAAAUUGAGCUAGGCUAAGCUGUGAUGUUCAGUAGGUUAGGGUAUUACACGCAUUUUCAACUUUCGGUGUUUUCAACUUACAUGGGUUUAUCAGGACAUAACCCCAUUGCAAAUCAAAGAAGAUCUAUAGCAUUUAAUAGAGCCAGAUGUCACACCGUCACCUUUCCACUACCCCGGGGUGGGGGGGGGGACCAAAACUCUAACUCAAAAUCUGCUAACAUCAAGGGCUGCAGCCCCAGGUGUCCCCCAUGCCCUUCCUGGCCCACCCGGCCAUUGCUUUUUUCUAGUAAGUUACCUCUCGCUGUGUAAUAAACCAUCCCAAGACUUAAGUUUUAGAA